CGACAACUCAGGUCACAGUAAAGAAAGCCUGCACUUUGACCUCUUUGGAAAAUUGCAUCCUUCUGGCACCAGGGGUUUGGUGGUAUCUUUUCUAAAUCUGUGAAACACUCAGAGGUUGGCACAAUGUCAUCUAUGUGACAACAUGUUUUGAUCAAAGAGAAAAUCCAAUUGGAAGGCUCCAAUCUUCUGAAAUAUGCAGAAGGUGUGACUAAUGAAUGCAGACCAACAAGGGUCAGGAAAGGAAACCUUUUGCUGAUGUUUUCCUGUUGGAAUAGUGGCUGUACACAUAUCUAUUGAUAUUUUAAUUAUCACCUGUGGACCCACAGCCACACAGUCAGCAUCCUGCUGGCCAUUCAGGCCAGUCCCAUGGCCCCAGCUUUGCCAUGGCCACAAUAUGAUUCGGAAGAGGACAUUGGAUUCCUUGGAACAGUUGUGAGUGGGUGCUGGGAACUGAAUGCAGGUCCUCUGCAAAAGCAACAAGUACUCUUUACCACUGAGCCAUCUCUCCAGCCUCAAGAAAAGGUGUAUGAAGUGUUCAUCGAGGCCAGAUCUUCUGUUCUUAUGAAGCCAGAAAUUUACAUGAGCUUUGGUGGGGCUGUGGGGCAGCAUUCGCAGGUCUUAUUCUUGGUUCGAGUGUUGGGUUCUUCCUGAAUUCCUGAGAUCCUGACCACUUUGUGAUGAAUGAAACAGCAUAGGUAGUAGUGCUGCUUUUUUAGAGCCUGGGAAAGCACAUAAGUAUUAAAGACACUUGCUUUAGAAAUGUCUCUGAUUGCAGCAGCCACUGCUGGGUUCCACAAGAGGGUGUUCUUAAUGGCCUUGCCCUUGGGCAUGCACUGGGCACAGCUCCUGCAGUGAAUCAACUACACAUCACCAUGACUGUUUUUGGCACAACUGUUAAUUACUCUUUUUUGGUAAUUUUGGAGCCAGGACUCAAAGCAUAAUUUGUUUCAAAAAUAUUUUAUUUUACUUUAUUUGUAUAAAUAUUUUACUUGUAAAAAUAUUUGUAUAAAUGUAUGUGCACCAUGUUGAAUCUCCUGGAACAGGGGUUACAGAUGGCUAUGAAUAAAGAGUAGCAACUGCUUUUAACUGCUGUAGCAUCUCUCUAGCCCAGAAACUUACUUUUAAUAGUUAUUUUGAAAAUAUUCAUGGAGUCUAAGAGGCCACACAUUUACAGUCACUCCUUUGUCAUUUUAAAGCACCCUAUUGGACACUGACAUGACUUCAUUUUGCCCCCUCUGGCUUUAUUUAUUUUUCUCUUUAAGUUUAUUUUCCCGAGCCACUCCUGAAGU
RNAcentral lists this long non-coding RNA (1289 nucleotides) under Cricetulus griseus (Chinese hamster). Its description in RNAcentral is "lncRNA (ENSCGRG00015039318.1)". The record is from RNAcentral. Lineage: Eukaryota; Metazoa; Chordata; Mammalia; Rodentia; Cricetidae.